Molecule: unclassified non-coding RNA, 296 nt
Filed under: uncultured Agaricales
Lineage: Eukaryota; Fungi; Basidiomycota; Agaricomycetes; Agaricales
Also listed under: 1 other name
Description: sequence contains ITS2
Rfam family: 5.8S ribosomal RNA (bases 1-52)
Source: RNAcentral
AACGCACCUUGCGCUCCUUGGUAUUCCGAGGAGCAUGCCUGUUUGAGUGUCAUUUAAUUCUCAAUCCCUACAAUCUUGUGUUGUUUAGUGGAUUGGAGGUGGGGGUUUUUGUGGGUCUAUCUAUUAGAUCUUCUCCCCUAAAAAUCAUUAGCUGGAAUGCCUUUGCAAAACCAACUAUCAGUAUGAUAAUUAUCUACUCUGAUGUUGUUGUAAAAGGGGAUCUGCUUUCAAACUGUCGUUCAGACACUAUGAAUCAAUUUGACCUCAAAUCAGGUAGGACUACCCGCUGAACUUAA